AGAGAGAAUUCUGAGCGAUGAGCAAAUUUAGAAAAUUUGUCAAGCGAUUUCGAUCGUGUUUCUCUUGCUUCGGCAAGAGGAAACGAGAUCGAACAGAUUCCAACAUCUUUGAAUCUGUCGUGGAGGAGCCCACGGAAGAGCCCAAGCCACCGUUCUGCCUGGUAAGCAGUAAAGGAGAUGGUAUCAUAGAUUCCUUAUGUUAUUAGCUUCUUCCUAAAUGUUGUGUUCACUUUAACAGAAUUUACCAUUUAAUAUGACUGUUUGCAAACAGCUAACUAUAGC
Molecule: long non-coding RNA, 282 nt
Organism: Xenopus tropicalis (tropical clawed frog)
Lineage: Eukaryota; Metazoa; Chordata; Amphibia; Anura; Pipidae
Exons: 3
Source: RefSeq, a predicted model, not a curated record